AGGCUGAGCCCCUGUUCCCGGGAAUGGCAGGGGCGCCCGCGCGAGGAGGGUCGCCGGGAGAGCCGCCUCUCCUCCAAGCUGGAGCAGCCGUGACCCAGAUUGCGACCGCGGCGGCCUCGCCCUGCCUAAUCCCCCCCUCUUCUUCCUCCAGGGGCACCCUUUGGAGAAGAACCCCAGCCUGGGGUGGGGACGCACCGGCUCUCCGACAGCUCAAACACAGACAGAUCUUCUAGAGCCGAGGGAAUUUCUUUUCGCAGAAGCCAUUACUCCCCCCGUUCUGAGGAUUCAGAAACAAGGAGGCCCCACUCGCUGCCCCCUGGAUGCUUCCAGCCCAGAAGGCACGAAGAUGAAGACAUGCCCAACUGCAGUACCCUGUGGUCAAUGCUACAUAGGAGCCCAGGAGUGCCAGAGAGAGAGAGAGAGAGGCCUGCUCCAGCCAUGCAGGAGACCAGCACAGACCCAUCAGUGAAGCCUGUUCUCAACAAACGCUUGUAAAUGACUCACUCCUACUGGGGUCUAGAGGACGAUGGAUCCCAGAUCAAGUUGCUUGUUGCCUCAUUUGUCAAGUUCUGCCUGUACAUCGGCUGUUCUUCCUUACGAUAAAUCUGAAGAUCAGAAACACGGCGGAACAACAAGCACGCAGGACAAGUCCAUCCUGCCCAUAACACCCUAGAGCAGGCUCAAAGCAGGAAAACAGCAUGAGUCACAUUCAGCAACAGACACACGGGGAACCCUGCUCUCCCCUCUACCCUGAGGAGAAACAACAACACCUUCCCUGCCUGGGGAAACUCCUACUCAUGCUAUCCGUCUCAGACAGCAGCUCCUCUGCGAAGCCAUCUUCCACUCUCUCAGAAAGAGUCCAUUGUUUCUUCCUCUGCGUUCUCUCUUGCCUCUAUUAAGGUGUUCAGCAGACAGUAUUGAAACGAUCUCCUUGCCUAUUUGGUAUUUUCCAGUAUGGCAGACACAUAUGGGAAUCAGUUCUGGGAGCACAGUGGUUUAAAAGGAUGCAGACCACCAAACAUCAGAAGAAGAGAAGUCAGGGUAGGGAAGGACCAGGAAACCUGUGCCCCAUGAGCGGACUGAGGGUUGAGUUGGUCCCGGACGUUGCUGUGUCUCGGUGUGAUUACCAAUAGCACCCAAGUUCAUUCUCAAAAGUGUCCUGGUUUAGUCCAUCACAUAUAUAAUCACCCUCCAUUUGAGAAAUAUGUAAAGAAGCCACAGGGAUUUGACCCACGGGAGCCUUGGGGAGUCCAUCACUGUCUUUAGUCAUUCAGGGUGCAGCCGCAUGCGCUGCGUGGCCUCAGGGGACCUGUGGGAGAGGAUGAUGUAACGAAAGCCUUUCCCCUAGUCUCUGUUUUGUUUACUGUUGGGCACCCAGGACUUGGCACCAUUCCUGGAAUAUAUUAAUCUCUUGAUAAAUAUUUGUGGGAGAGAGGAAGGAAGAGAGGGAGGAGGGGGGAAGAGGGUACAAUCUGGCAAAGAGCUGGUUGCAUUGCAGGCCUUGUCCCCUCAGUGGGGGCACCUGCCAGAGGCUGAAGGACCCCUUGCUGGGGAUGGCACAGAUGGUGUAUGGGCUGAAUUGCACCCCCCUCCCCCGAAAAGGAUAUGUCCAAGUCCUGACUCCCAGUGCUUCAGAAUGUGACUGUACUGGAAAUCUGGCUGUUGCAGGUGUUAGUUGAGAUGAGGUCAUACUGGAGUAGGAUAGGCUCCUAAUCCAAUAUGACAGGUGUCCUUACAAAAAGACUGUCAUGUGCAGACAGAGGCCUACAGGGAGAAGUCCACGUCUAGACAGGCAGAGGCUGGCAUGAUGCAUCUACAAGCCAGGGACUUCCAAGAUUGCCAGAAUACCACCAGAGUCUAGGAAGAGACAAGGAAGGAUUGUCCCAGAGGUUUCAGAGGGAGUCUGCCAACACCUUGAUUUCAGACUUCUAGCCUGCAGAACUGUGAGAAUACAUUUCUGUUGUUUAAGCCAUCCGGUUUGUGGGGGUUGUUUAUGCCAGCCCUAGGAAACUAACACGGAAGGAAUUCUGCCUUGGGUGGGAAGAUGCAUGAGAUGGAUGAUCUCUGGACUCACUAGGCUUCCAUCUCGGAGCCAGGCAGCAGUGAUGGAUUUGCCUCAGGCAGCCUUGCAGACCCACUGUGUGUCCAUCGAACUCUGCACUGGUGGUCUGCACCCAGGGAGCCAAGCACAAGCUCAUCUGAGCUAACUGCAGCACCAGCAUCCUGAAACCUCCCUUCACCGUCCAGCCGGUCAUGGGCUCAGGGCUCUUUGGCUCCUGGAACUUCAGAGUGAUGGAAACUCACAAAGACACCCAAGUCCACCCCUCCCUCACACCGCCAGAUUCCAGGCUUAGAGGCGUGGGGGAUACCUGGACUCUUUCCCUGCUCUGUGCUCUUUCCGUGUUGUCACAAGAAAUAACUCUGUGGUCUACUCAUUGUUUUCCAGAUAAGCCCCAACCUUCCCACCUGUAGGAAUCCCCUUUGCCAGAAAUUCCUCACCCCAGCCUCCUCCUCUCAGCCUGCCAAGACGCACUAAGAUAGGAGACCACUUCCUUCAGCUGAUCUCCUGUCCAGGGGAUCUCUGCUUCCCUCCAUCCCCAACCCUGCCCGCCACGCAGAAUCCUCUGGCCUCACUCCCAGGCAGUCCACCCUUACCUACCACUUGUCAUGGGCUACUUUGCAGGGGGCGAAUGACAUCUUCUUUCACCUCUAUUCUUGUUCCUGGUAGUCAUUCAAUCACCCACAGAUAUAUAUUGAGAACCUACCUUAUUGCAGAAGUUAAAUUGUCAAUAAGAAUAAAAAGACUAUAGUGUUGUUGGGAACAUGGAUACUUCAGCAUUCACUUACAAUACAGAGUCCCAAGCAGAAAAAUUGGAAAAAUACAGGCUGCCCUUGAGGUCAGAGCUGGAGAGAGUGGUGGGGAGCUGUCAGGCAAAGUCCACAAGCCUCCUCCCAGACCUCACUUCUCACCACUGGCCCCUUUCUCUCUGCCCCAGCCACUCUGAAUGUCUUGCUUUUUUCUCUGCACUCCAGCUUUAUUCCCACAGAGGUUUCGCACGUAUUUCCCCCAACCUUGAACAUCUGUGUCCCUCCCAUUCUUCUUUGUAUGACCAGCUCCCUUACUUCCGUGCUCCCUGCGUACCAUACCCAAAACAGCACCCUGCCGCUCUCUAGUUCCUUCCCUGCCCCACUGUGCUUCAGAACACUUGCCAUUAACA
This is a long non-coding RNA of Homo sapiens (human), 3218 nucleotides long. Ensembl annotates it as MYCN opposite strand. Its record names the gene MYCNOS. The record is from Ensembl. Lineage: Eukaryota; Metazoa; Chordata; Mammalia; Primates; Hominidae.